AUACAUGCAAGUCGAACGAACUCUGGUAUUGAUUGGUGCUUGCAUCAUGAUUUACAUUUGAGUGAGUGGCGAACUGGUGAGUAACACGUGGGAAACCUGCCCAGAAGCGGGGGAUAACACCUGGAAACAGAUGCUAAUACCGCAUAACAACUUGGACCGCAUGGUCCGAGCUUGAAAGAUGGCUUCGGCUAUCACUUUUGGAUGGUCCCGCGGCGUAUUAGCUAGAUGGUGGGGUAACGGCUCACCAUGGCAAUGAUACGUAGCCGACCUGAGAGGGUAAUCGGCCACAUUGGGACUGAGACACGGCCCAAACUCCUACGGGAGGCAGCAGUAGGGAAUCUUCCACAAUGGACGAAAGUCUGAUGGAGCAACGCCGCGUGAGUGAAGAAGGGUUUCGGCUCGUAAAACUCUGUUGUUAAAGAAGAACAUAUCUGAGAGUAACUGUUCAGGUAUUGACGGUAUUUAACCAGAAAGCCACGGCUAACUACGUGCCAGCAGCCGCGGUAAUACGUAGGUGGCAAGCGUUGUCCGGAUUUAUUGGGCGUAAAGCGAGCGCAGGCGGUUUUUUAAGUCUGAUGUGAAAGCCUUCGGCUCAACCGAAGAAGUGCAUCGGAAACUGGGAAACUUGAGUGCAGAAGAGGACAGUGGAACUCCAUGUGUAGCGGUGAAAUGCGUAGAUAUAUGGAAGAACACCAGUGGCGAAGGCGGCUGUCUGGUCUGUAACUGACGCUGAGGCUCGAAAGUAUGGGUAGCAAACAGGAUUAGAUACCCUGGUAGUCCAUACCGUAAACGAUGAAUGCUAAGUGUUGGAGGGUUUCCGCCCUUCAGUGCUGCAGCUAACGCAUUAAGCAUUCCGCCUGGGGAGUACGGCCGCAAGGCUGAAACUCAAAGGAAUUGACGGGGGCCCGCACAAGCGGUGGAGCAUGUGGUUUAAUUCGAAGCUACGCGAAGAACCUUACCAGGUCUUGACAUACUAUGCAAAUCUAAGAGAUUAGACGUUCCCUUCGGGGACAUGGAUACAGGUGGUGCAUGGUUGUCGUCAGCUCGUGUCGUGAGAUGUUGGGUUAAGUCCCGCAACGAGCGCAACCCUUAUUAUCAGUUGCCAGCAUUAAGUUGGGCACUCUGGUGAGACUGCCGGUGACAAACCGGAGGAAGGUGGGGAUGACGUCAAAUCAUCAUGCCCCUUAUGACCUGGGCUACACACGUGCUACAAUGGAUGGUACAACGAGUUGCGAACUCGCGAGAGUAAGCUAAUCUCUUAAAGCCAUUCUCAGUUCGGAUUGUAGGCUGCAACUCGCCUACAUGAAGUCGGAAUCGCUAGUAAUCGCGGAUCAGCAUGCCGCGGUGAAUACGUUCCCGGGCCUUGUACACACCGCCCGUCACACCAUGAGAGUUUGUAACACCCAAAGUCGGUGGGGUAACCUUUUAGGAACCAGCCGCCUAAGGUGAC
Molecule: ribosomal RNA, 1450 nt
Filed under: Lactiplantibacillus plantarum
Lineage: Bacteria; Bacillati; Bacillota; Bacilli; Lactobacillales; Lactobacillaceae
Description: bacterial SSU rRNA
Rfam family: Bacterial small subunit ribosomal RNA
Source: RNAcentral